This 501-nucleotide ribosomal RNA is filed under the name Sticta corymbosa. Its description in RNAcentral is "partial 28S ribosomal RNA". It matches the Rfam family "Eukaryotic large subunit ribosomal RNA", at positions 108 to 629 of the family's 3401-position model. Lineage: Eukaryota; Fungi; Ascomycota; Lecanoromycetes; Peltigerales; Lobariaceae. The record is from RNAcentral.
CUCAAAUUGAAAUCUGGCCUUUGGGGUCCGAGUUGUAAUUUGUAGAGGGUGUUUCGGGCGCGAUGCCGGUCUAAUUCCUUGGAACAGGACGUCGCAGAGGGUGAAAUCCCGUACGCGACCGGCGAUCAGCCCGUGUGAACCCCUUCGACGAGUCGAGUUGUUUGGGAAUGCAGCUCAAAAUGGGUGGUAAAUUUCAUCUAAAGCUAAAUAUUGGCCAGAGACCGAUAGCGGACAAGUAGAGUGAUCGAAAGAUGAAAAGCACUUUGGAAAGAGAGUCAAACAGUACGUGAAAUUGUUGAAAGGGAAGCGCUUGCAAUCAGACCGGUCCGGAGGCGAUCAGCCGCUGCUCGUUCAGCGGUGCACUCGCCUGCGAUCCGGCCAGCAUCGGUUUGGGCGGUGGGAUAAAAGUCCCGGGAAUGUAGCUUCUCUCGGGGAGUCUUAUAGCCCGGGUCGCAAUGCCGCCCGCCCGGACCGAGGACCGCGCUUCGGCUAGGAUGCUGG